This 420-nucleotide long non-coding RNA is filed under the name Ananas comosus (pineapple). RNAcentral describes it as "long non-coding RNA (ACOM_LNC012279)". The record is from RNAcentral. Lineage: Eukaryota; Viridiplantae; Streptophyta; Magnoliopsida; Poales; Bromeliaceae.
UUUGCAACAAUUGCAAAGACACCCCUCCACGAAACAGCCCAAACUGCACUGCGUACUGGUACACGGGUUUGUGUACCGGUACACAUCCCACGAACCAGCCCAACCCGAGCCUCGGGUUGGCGCACUGGCUGCCAGGGCCGAUGGCUGUACCGGUACAGCCAUCACCGCGUACCGGCACACAGCCCUGCAGCAUGCUACCCGAGAGCACACUAAAAUCCAACCUUUUGGGUUUGGUGCCAAGUUUUUAAACCUCAAUUCUCGAGACUCGAACUAUAGGUCGGAACACUGUCUACGACCCUCUACAAAGUGUGGAACAACUCGGAACACAAUCAAACACUCGAACCUCGCUAUUUGCAAUGGUUCAGUGUGUUACAUUCACCCCUCCUAAAAAGGAGUUUCGUCCGCGAAACUCGAAAGCAA